UGGACGAGAGGGUAGCCUCCCUCUGCCUACGUGUGGGGGGACGGGUUCUGACUGUUGUCUGUGCUUAUGCACCAAACUACAGUUCAGACUACCCACCCUUUUUGGAGUCCUUGGAGGAGGUGCUGGAAAGCACUCCUUCUGGUGACUCCCUCAUUCCGCUGGGGGACUUUAACGCUCACGUGGGCAACGACAGUGAGACCUGGAGAGGUGUGGUGGGGAGGAACGGCCCCCCUGAUCUGAAUUUGAGUGGUGUUUGUUGUUGGAUAUCUGUGCUCGUCAUGGCUUGUCUAUAACUAACACAAUUUUCAGACAUAAAGGUGUCCAUAUGUGCUCUUGGCACCAGGAUACCUUAGGCCGCAGCUCGAUGAUCGACUUUGUUGACAUUUCAUCUAAUCUGCAACCGCAUGUCUUGGACACUCGGGUAAAGAGAGAGGCGGAGCUGUCAACUGACCACUACCUGGUGGUGAGUUGGCUUUGAUGGUGGGGGAAGAUGCCGGUCAGACCUGGCAGGCCCAAAGGUAUUGUGAGGGUCUUCUGGGAACGUCUGGCAGAGUCUCCUGUCAGAAGAAGUUUAAAUUCUCACCUCGGACAGAACUUCCAAAAUGUUCUGGGGGAGGCGGGGGACAUGGAGUCCGAGUGAGCCAUGUUCCGUGCUUUCAUUGUCGAGGUGACUGACCGGAGCUACGGCCGCAGGGUUGUUGGUGUCUGUCGUGGUGGCAACCCCCAAACCCACUGGUGGACACCAACGGUUAGGGAUGCCGUCAAGCUGAAGAUAAAGAGUCCUAUAGGGUCUGUUUGGCCUGUGGGACUCCAGAGGCAGCUGAUGGGUACCGGCAGGCCAAGCGGAAUGCGGCCCAGGUUGUCACAGCAUGCUGCAUAGUGUUGGAACCCAAGUUUUUUUCAUUUUUAUUCGUGUUUUUUUAGUGGUCGAAGGUUACAUUACUAGAUUACUGCCUAUGUGUAUAUACAUGUACCUAUAUCAUAAUUUUCUUCUGAUUAUCCCCUUAAGUGUUGGUGCUGCUGUAACAAGUGAAUUUCCCCACUGUGGGAUCAAUAAAGUGUAUUCUAUUCUAUUCUUCCUAAAGGAUUAUUAGGAACACCAUACUAAUACGGUGUUUGACCCCCUUUUGCCUUCAGAACCGUCUUAAUUCGACGUGGCAGUAGCCACAUUUACAUGCGCAUAUUUCAUCAGAUUGAACGCCCAAUCAGAUAAAAAAUUCUGCAUGUAAACAUGUCAAUCAAAUAUUCUGAUCCGAUUUGGCCCGAUCGGAUUGAAAUUUCAAUUCGAUUGAGGGAGGUGGUUUUGUCCGAUCAUCAUUCUGAUUGACGUGCAUGUACACAGCUAUUCGGAUUGUUGGGGUAAAAUAAUGCCCACUGCGCAUGUGUGCAACAGCGAGCGGGCCUCUCCGCUGUCAUUUGGACUGCCUGACUUCAAAAAUGACAGCGUAAUCAAUGAGCAGAGGCUUUUAAAUUUGAUAACAAGCCGUCCCGUUUCAGUAAUAUUUAAUUCAGAACUUGCAUUUUGUAGAAGUAAAAUAAAAAUCUGAUUAUUGCACAAAUCACUCGACAAACAUUUUCAAAUCUGUACUGGAAAUACCCAAGUUUAUUGCGGAGGUUGCAGCGCACAGAUCCCCGUUUCUGUCAGCUUUGAACGCAGCAACUUCUGCAGCAGGUGAUGGAGACGCCAGAGACGCUUGUAAAGAAGACAGGAUAAUAUCAGUUUUACAGACCUGAUUGGAGGCUGAUGUUGGGUAGGAAAACAUCCUCGGUUAAAUAUUCUGGACAACAGUAAAGUCCGUGUUAAAAGCACAUUAACGCAGAUGACCUGAGAUGCGGUUCGUUAAUGAUGAACACAGGCUUCUAAACUUUCUGAACGUCUUCUGUUGUUUUAUUUUAAACAGAUUUUUCUCAACAGUUUCAGCUGAUUGUCACAUGUUAAGAAUAAUAAGCCACAACAGAGCUCAGUAAUAAAACAUGAGUCUAAACGCCCCCAUCCCCACUCUGCGCCACAGUGCAGCGCAACGGCAUAUCUGUCACUUCAGACCCACGGACCAGCUGAUCAAGAGGCAGAAACAUAACCCUCCCUUAUUUUAAUCAACAAUAAAAAUGCAGCAAAGCAUAGAUCUGCAGUUAUUCACUGAAGAAAACGUAACUUCUAUGAGCAAAAUAAAAAUAUUGAAGUGAAUAAAUGAAUCGGGAAAGCAGGAAGAAUUGUUAUUUCUGUUUUUACAUUUUUCAUUUCAUUUCAUGGUGUUUGUUUACAAUUUUUCUUCCGGGAAAGGCAACUUUCUGCGCAUGCUCAACCUAUUUAAUCGGAUUAAAUGCUUGAUGCAUUUAUAAGCACGGCAUGAUCAGAUCAUUUCAGUUUGUGUCCAUGUGAACAGUGAUUCAGAAAUUCCGAUCAACCAAGAUUUGAAUUGGAUUGAGGAAAUUUGGUGCAUGUAAACAUGGCUACUGAGUCAACAAGUUGCUGAAAGCAUUCUUUAGAAAUGUUUGCUCAUAUUUAUAGGAUAGCAUCUUGCAGUUGAUGGAGAUGUGUGGGAUGCACAUCCAGGGCACGAAGCUCCCGUUCCACCACAUCCCACAGAUGCUCUAUCGGGUUUAGAUCUGCUGACUGUGGGGGCCAUUGUAGUACAGUGAACUCAUUGCCAUGUUCAAGAAACCAAUUUCAAAAGAUUGGAGCUUUAUGACAUGGUGCAUUAUCCUGCUGGAAGUAGCCAUCAGAGGAUGGGUACAUGGUGGUCAUGAAGGUAUGGACAUGGUCAGAAACAAUGCUCAGGUAGCCUGUGGCAUUUAAACCAUGCCCAAUGGGCACUAAGGGGCCUAAAGUGUACCAAGAAAACAUCCCCCACACCAUGACACCACCACCACCAGCCUGCACAGUGGUAACAAGGCAUGAUGGAUCCAUGUUCUCAUUCUGUUUACACCAAAUUCUGACUACCAUUUGAAUGUCUCAACAGAAAUCCAGACUCAUCAGACCAGCAACAUUUUUCCAGUCUUCAACCAUCAUAUUUUGGUGAUCUUGUGCAAAUUGUAGCCUCUUUUUCCUAUUUGUAGUGGAGAUGAGUGGUGCCCCGUGGGGUCUUCUGCUGCUGUAGCCCAUCCACCUCAAGGUUGUGCAUGUUGUGGCUUCACAAAUGCUUUGCUGCAUUCCUCGGUUGUAACGAGUCACUUCAGAUAUUAAAUAAAUAAAUAUCAUAAUAAUAAUAAUAAUAUACGGAAUAUUAAACAUUGAACUAAACUGAAUACGAGUUCAACGUACCAUUACACCCCUAGUAAUGAUUGUGGGUUGAGACACCUGAAUCAGAAUGCGAAAACAGUAUGACUCAGUGGAUUUAAAAAUACACACAGAUGAUGGAAAAAAUCAGAGUAUGGGGAAGCUGGCAACUCCUCCUUUUGUUGCAUUUUUAAAAUGGGAAGUGUGGGUGAAGUUAUACUCUGGGGUGACUUGCUCUUUAAGGAAAUUAUUACUGUUAUGUCUAUAGCUUGACAUUAGAUCUAUUUUUCUUUUCUUUGCAGCAUCUUUCAAAAGAUAAAAGCUGAGAAACAAAAGCAAUGGGCUCGACCAAAGUUCUGAAGAUGAACCCACCUUGUGCACCCAAAGGCCUACAGGGAAAUCAAAGAAGAAGCAGACCAACAAAGGAACACCCACCCAUUCCCCUUCCCUGCUCACUGUCCAUGGUUUUACUCAAGAUCAUCCAGAUAUGAUGAGCCAAGAACCUUCAGGAGCUGAGUGGUCUAAGGAGUCAAAUGGAAAGGACAAAACAGACAUGGAUCAACAGGAUUUAACCUCUAAGAAAUUCAACCGAAAGAUUUGGAGCAAAUCUGGGAAAGAAGCGGUUUGGCAACAGCUUGGUCGGUACAUCACUCUUGAAAGAGUUCCUGGUAAAAUGCUGUGUGUGAAAGCACUCAGUACAGAGACAGCACUUUAGAACAGAAGUUGGAAAGAUGUAAAAAACUGCAUCUAUAACCACAUCCCUGAUCAAAAAAGAAAAAGGCUGUAGUUUUUGCGUUAAAAGCAGCAGGAGCUGAGUUAAUGCAUGUAAUGUUACAAGCAGAGCAUUUAAUGAUACCUAGUUAUUUUUAUUUUAUGAGACAUUGGAAAUAUGUUAAAAACUAUAAUUAUAACAGCAUUGCAGAUCAAAAAUGUUACAAGCAGAGCAUUUUAUGGUACCUAAAGAUAUUUAAAUUUUAUUACAUGUUGGAAAGAUGUUAAAAACUAUAAGUAGAACAGCAUCACAGUAGCAUUGCAGGGAUUAAUCGUUUUGACUAUUAACCCUGGUUAACCCCAAGUAAAUAGAUCUUCAACACCAUCAAACUAAAACAAAAAGACAAUAGCGUUACUCGUAAGUACAAAAACAAAACUGAAACUGAACACGCGCCCGCAGCAGAAGCAUGAUCAGUGAAAACAACCAUCGGGACUCCUCCAUUUCUACCUCGGAAGAGGUUGAAUUCUCCUGUGUGGGAAUAGUUUAGAUAUAUUAGAUAUCAUCCCACACAGGAGACUUCAACCGCUUCUUAGGUGGAAAUGGAGGAGUCCCGAAGGUUGUUGUCACUGGUU
This is a non-coding RNA of Nothobranchius furzeri (turquoise killifish), 4561 nucleotides long. NCBI's taxonomy places the organism in Eukaryota, Metazoa, Chordata, Actinopteri, Cyprinodontiformes, Nothobranchiidae. The record is from RefSeq and is a predicted model, not a curated record.